UACGGGGGGGGCAAGCGUUGUUCGGAAUUACUGGGCGUAAAGGGCUCGUAGGCGGCCAACUAAGUCGGAUGUGAAAUCCCCAGGCUCAACUUGGGAACUGCAUCCGAUACUGGAUGGCUUGAAUUCGGGAGAGGGAUGCAGAAUUCCCGGUGUAGUGGUGAAAUGCGUAGAUAUGCGGAGGAACACCGAUGGCGAAGGCAAUCCCCUGGACCUGUACUGACGCUCAUGCACGAAAGCGUGGGGAGCAAACAGG
This 253-nucleotide ribosomal RNA is filed under the name uncultured bacterium. Its description in RNAcentral is "partial 16S ribosomal RNA". It matches the Rfam family "Bacterial small subunit ribosomal RNA", at positions 524 to 776 of the family's 1533-position model. The record is from RNAcentral.